GACGAACGCUGGCGGCGUGCUUAAUACAUGCAAGUCAACGACUUUUAGAGUAGCAAUAUUCUAAAGGAAGUGGCGCACGGGUGAGUAACACGUAGGUAAUCUGCCUUCAGGACUGACACAACUCGUCGAAAGACGGGCUAAUAUCAGAUAAUGCAGCGGCUCCGCAUGGAGACAGUUGUCAAAGUACAAGCGCCUGAAGAUGAGCCUGCGGUCCAUUAGCUAGUUGGUAGAGUAACAGCCUACCAAGGCAACGAUGGAUAGCUGGUCUGAGAGGAUGAUCAGCCACACUGGAACUGAGACACGGUCCAGACUCCUACGGGAGCAGCAGUAAGGAAUAUUGCUCAAUGGCCGAAAGGCUGAAGCAGCAACGCCGCGUGAAGGAUGAAUGGCCUUUGGCCUGUAAACUUCUGUAAAAGGGAAAACAAUCAGGCAUGUCCUGAUUUGAUUGUACCUUGAAGUAAGCCCCGGCUAACUACGUG
This 479-nucleotide ribosomal RNA is filed under the name uncultured bacterium. RNAcentral describes it as "bacterial SSU rRNA". It matches the Rfam family "Bacterial small subunit ribosomal RNA", at positions 28 to 507 of the family's 1533-position model. The record is from RNAcentral.